This 700-nucleotide long non-coding RNA is filed under the name Pan troglodytes (chimpanzee). RNAcentral describes it as "long non-coding RNA NONPTRT002376". Lineage: Eukaryota; Metazoa; Chordata; Mammalia; Primates; Hominidae. The record is from RNAcentral.
CUUGAAGAAAUUACCAGGCUAGUUGGGUUCCAUCUCUUGAGCAUCUGUCUGUUGACGGUGGGAGCUGGGCUAAAGAUCCUGAAGUUGACUGAAGCUGGAGUGGUCAUUAUGGGAUGGUGCAGGAUGGGCUAAGGACAAGAAAAGAGCCAUUGGAGAGAGAAAGAGAUGAAGUGGAAGACAGUGAGUGAGGGGCUGGCAGAAGGAUUUCCCCUCUUCAAACUAGAGGAGAACUUCCUCAGCCUCCAUGCAGCCGGCCAGAUCCUAGGGCAAAGCUCUGGCUAGAGAAGGCAAGGACAGGCAAGAAAAUGUUUUAGAAAAAGACCCUUUCCAUCUGGAAUGCUUUUUCCAACUCCCUUCACACCUUCAGGCUGGCUUCUAGUUGCACCAGGAACUCUGGGCCCACGUGUGAGGUGCGGGGGCAACACUGUCCAUCGGGAGGACCUGUGGCUGCCUCCUCAUCCCUUCCACCGAGCGCAGGAUGGCACCAUUGCUGGCUUCUGCUGCCCUCUGUUGUGGUCCUGUACCUCCUCACCUGCUCAGAUGCUCCGCGGGGACUGAUGGAGCUCUUCCUGGUCUCCAGUGGUUCUUACUGGGUAGUGCUGGACAACAGAGUACCAGGAAGGCAGGGACCUGGCCAAGCGCACAUACGCAUGAGUGGAGGAAAUUUUACAAUUUUUAGGAAGCAACAAAAGUAUAAAGU